GACGAACGCUGGCGGCGUGCUUAACACAUGCAAGUCGAACGGAAAGGCCCUGCUUUUGUGGGGUGCUCGAGUGGCGAACGGGUGAGUAACACGUGAGUAACCUGCCCUUGACUUUGAGAUAACUUCAGGAAACUGGGGCUAAUACCGGAUAGGAGCUCCUGCUGCAUGGUGGGGGUUGGAAAGUUUCGGCGGUUGGGGAUGGACUCGCGGCUUAUCAGCUUGUUGGUGGGGUAGUGGCUUACCAAGGCUUUGACGGGUAGCCGGCCUGAGAGGGUGACCGGCCACAUUGGGACUGAGAUACGGCCCAGACUCCUACGGGAGGCAGCAGUGGGGAAUAUUGCACAAUGGGCGGAAGCCUGAUGCAGCAACGCCGCGUGCGGGAUGACGGCCUUCGGGUUGUAAACCGCUUUCGCCUGUGACGAAGCGUGAGUGACGGUAAUAGGUAAAGAAGCACCGGCUAACUACGUG
RNAcentral lists this ribosomal RNA (468 nucleotides) under uncultured bacterium. RNAcentral describes it as "partial 16S ribosomal RNA". It matches the Rfam family "Bacterial small subunit ribosomal RNA", at positions 28 to 507 of the family's 1533-position model. The record is from RNAcentral.